UGUUAUUUUUGCUUAUGAUCUAUCACACUGUCUGUCCAUCCAUCUGUGUGCUACAAUCUUUACAAGUUUUUCCCCAGGUUUUGAUUACCUCCAUACAGCAGCUCCAAGCAAGGGAUGACUGAUACUUCCACCACUCUCAAUCCAUCUCACAACAGAGCUGGGGCUCUUCAAGGUGCAAUUGCUUUACCAGCUCCAAUUUCCAGCAGUUUCUCAUCUGCAUCUCGCCUUUCCCAGGGAUAAACGACACCAGGCAGGGCCAGCAGGCACUGAAUGAAUGCCCAGGUGAGCUGCACUUGGACCAGAACCAUUCUCUAGGAGAGUCACUGUUCACCUCUCACUGCUCUCCUGAAUUUCUGUUCACUCAACCAGCUCCAGAAAACAUCUCCCAGAGGAGCCCAGCAGCCACACAAGGGAGCAUAGUGCUGAAGUUCCUUGGGAAGCUGUCCUUUUCAAAUGACUGACUGAAGAGCUCCAACUGUUUAUUCCCACCAAAUGAUUCUGGCUUGUUGAAGAUGACUGAACACAUUGCUGGGCCUUUCAGCUGAGCUCCUUUCAAGUGAGAACAAAAGGCUGCUUGUCAAGUGUAUCAAUACAAUUGUGACUCCCAUGGUCAUUGCCGGUGUGAUGUUGUCAGGCACAUUCCUGGGAGCAAGAGUGACUUCAAAGCAAGACCAUUUAAAUGGCAUUGUUUGCUCCAUAAUUUUGAAAUGGAUGGCUUUGGGAAGUACAUCAGCUGGAAGAACAGUGCAAAAAGGUCAACAUUCCCCUGGUUUACAAGGGCAGGGUAACCAGGGUGUUAAAAGUGCUUAUUUUCCCUAUGGCAUUUCCAGGGAGAAGCCCAGAGUGACAGCUCAGAUGGAAAUACCCACAUGGCAGAUGACUAAAGGCAGGUGACAUAAAUCCACCCCGUGCCUUGCUCUACUCAUUUCCUUUUUAUCAGUCACACUCCCUUCUUCCCUCCUCAUUUCAGAAGGGUUUUGUGUGUAAACAGAGAUGGGAUAACUUUUGUGAGGUUUCCCUCAAAAAGCUUGGUACAAGGAGGUCAGUGUAGGAAAGAUGUGUUCUCCUGGCUUGCCCCUCACCCUGCCUGAUUGCCCAGUGCCUGAGGCCAUGGGCAAGAAGCCCAGUAGGUCACAUUAGAGCCCACCUGAGUCUAGGUCAGUCUCUGUUCCUGGAGAACAGCUUGCACUCCUCCUCCUGCUUGGAUCCCCACGAUUCUCCUGCUGGCCGUGCACAGGGUUAAAGACAGGUUUGGAAGCAACAUCUGUACUCGAUGGGAAGCUGGGCCAAGACUGAGAGUUUGCCAAGCAGCCCUUUGUCUGUGGUGCGUAAAUCUACACCUCUUGCAAAGGGAGAAGAGCAAGGAAGGAAAGGCAGUGCCAACUUGCAGAUCUGUAAAAGAGGCUUUUAAGCUCUCUAGGGGGGUAAUGUGCAACUGCUAAAUAUACUUCAGGAGAAAUACAGCCAGAUCAUUUCUUUCCUCAGCCUCAAUACAACUCUUUAUGUUUUUCCUCUUGAGAGGGGACAGCAAUGCAGCAUCGGCAGGGAAAAGGCUGGAAGGAACAGUGGGUUUGGUCUAUUUGCUGUUAACUCCACCAUGUGCCUCAUCAAGAGUUUUUCCAGUUAUCCUGUCUCGAUCCGUAGGGAAAAAGAAUUGAGAGAGAAAGAUGUGGAAAAGGAAAAAUGAAGGGUUUCUGUGCAUGCAGGGGAAGAUAUUUUGACAAAAUGGGUGAUGGUGACUAAGAAAAGGGGAGAAGAGGCAAGUGUUAAAUGAGUUUGUGUUCCUGGCUGCUGAGUAGCCCCAGGAGGUUCCCAGCAAGGCUGCCGCUUUUUUAUUGGAGUUUUGUGCCGGAGUUAUAAACCCUUUAAAUGAGCCUAGAUCAUUAGGGAAGCUUGGCUGAUCACUGAUGAAAAAAUAUAACAAUUAAAACAAAGGGCUGGAAAAGGGAAGCAGAGGGAGAAGGAGCUGGGGGUGAGCAGUUUUAAUACUUAAUAACAAAUACUAAUAAUGGUGCUGAGUUGGGGACUAAUUAAAAGUUUCUAAAAAGAGAGAGGAAGAGAGUGGGAUUAAUCUGGAGUGUUUUGUCUGGCAGCUUCUGUGAGUGCCCGAAAAGCUACCCUGGCAAGGAGGACAGGACAGAACACUGGGAACCAAGCAAAGCUCUGGAGAGAGAUGAAUCUGAGCCAUGGUGGAGCCCAGCUCCACCUGCUCUUCUGAGCUCUGUGUUUUGGUGUCUGCCCCAUAUUUCAGGAUGGUCAUUCUCCUACAUGGAGCAAAGGGACUGGGGAAGAGGAGCAAAGGAGGGAGUUUGAAGGGUGGAGAGAGCAAAAUUCUUCUGUGAAAAAGGGAUUGCUUUGGGCAAAGAGACCUGGGUGGUGGCAGCAUAGAUCUGAGACUUGUGCAUGUAGUGACACCCAUAGCCAUGGUAGGAGCCAAGGAAACAGGACCCAGGAAGGACCACAGGUGGCAACAACUCAGGGAGCCACUGCCAUGUCGUUUUCCAGGGGCUGGAAGAGCAUUCAGAGGAAGAAUUGCUGAACACUUUGCCUCUUGCUCUGCUGCUCUCAGCUGCUGUCAGGACACGAUGGCAGAUGAGAUGGGUUUCCUUGGCUGCUCCUCUACCAUUCCUUCUAUCUGUGCUCUGUCUGAGUGCACCUUUCCCCCCACAGAGAUAAAUGCUCUCAAAAGCAGCAGUCUCACAGGUCUGCCUCCAGCUGUGCCUCCAGCUGUGCCUCCAGCUGUGUCCUGAGGUCUGGGGGUGGUAAAGGCUGAAAUAACCAAAGCACCAACUAUUGUCUUUCCCUCACCAGUUCAGCAGCUGCCUGAGGGACAGUUCAGCCUGGAGAAACAUCUUUUGUGGUUAAUUUCAGCUAAACUCUUGUAGGCACCACCACUGCCAUCUCCAAUGCUUCAUCCUUGUGGAUAAAGGACCUGGCUGUGGGGAAUGCCAGCUUCAGACACCAAGUUCCUGCCAGCAUGAGCUCCUUUUACUUUCUCAUAUGUGCAGGAGACUCUAAGUUUUAAUUAUUAUUGCUUUUUGCUGCUCUUUGUCUUAAUUAAGUCUGACUUGCUGACUAUUUCAAGGGAGAUGAUGUCUGGGUAACGCCUUCCUGCCUUGAAUUUUGGAUUUUGGAAAGAGAGAUAUGAAGCCCUUCAUCACUGGAUCUGCUGGGCAGCAGAAAUGCAAUGUCAUAGGGACUGGAGGUGCAGUGGGACUAGGCAAAAGCUCAACUAAAAUGGGACAAUCCACCUGGAAUGAGCGCAGAGCAAGAAAGCCAUGGGGGUGUGUGCCUGGCAGGUAGAAGAGAUUUCCCAGAAAAUUCCUCUGUAUUAGUCUAUCUGGCAUCUGACUUAGAAUCAUAGAAUCAUUAAGGUUGGAAAAGACCUGUAAGAUCAUUGAGUCCAACUGUUAAC
This is a long non-coding RNA of Corvus hawaiiensis (hawaiian crow), 3415 nucleotides long. RefSeq lists it as uncharacterized. The record is from RefSeq and is a predicted model, not a curated record. Lineage: Eukaryota; Metazoa; Chordata; Aves; Passeriformes; Corvidae. The transcript is spliced from 3 exons.